UGGGGAAUUGUUCGCAAUGGGCGCAAGCCUGACGACGCAACGCCGCGUGGGGGAUGAAGGUCUUCGGAUUGUAAACCCCUGUUGGGUGGGACGAACACUUUCGUGGUGAAUAUCCACGGAGGCUGACGGUACCACCUGAGGAAGCCCCGGCUAACUCUGUGCCAGCAGCCGCGGUAAUACAGAGGGGGCAAGCGUUGUUCGGAAUUACUGGGCGUAAAGGGCGCGUAGGCGGCCUGUUAAGUCGGACGUGAAAUCCCUCGGCUCAACCGGGGAACUGCGUCUGAUACUGGCGGGCUUGAAUUCGGGAGAGGGAUGUGGAAUUCCAGGUGUAGCGGUGAAAUGCGUAGAUAUCUGGAGGAACACCGGUGGCGAAGGCGGCAUCCUGGACCGACAUUGACGCUGAGGCGCGAAAGCCAGGGGAGCAAACGGG
RNAcentral lists this ribosomal RNA (430 nucleotides) under uncultured bacterium. Its description in RNAcentral is "bacterial SSU rRNA". It matches the Rfam family "Bacterial small subunit ribosomal RNA", at positions 355 to 776 of the family's 1533-position model. The record is from RNAcentral.